RNAcentral lists this ribosomal RNA (274 nucleotides) under uncultured bacterium. RNAcentral's name for it is "partial 16S ribosomal RNA". It matches the Rfam family "Bacterial small subunit ribosomal RNA", at positions 523 to 796 of the family's 1533-position model. The record is from RNAcentral.
AUACGGAGGGUGCAAGCGUUAUCCGGGUUCAUUGGGUUUAAAGGGUACGUAGGCGGAUAGAUAAGUUAGUGGUGAAAUCCCGAAGCUCAACUUCGGAACUGCCAUUAAAACUGUCUAUCUUGAAUUUGGUUGAAGUGGGCGGAAUAUGACAUGUAGCGGUGAAAUGCAUAGAUAUGUCAUGGAACACCGAUAGUGAAGACAGCUCACUAAGCCAAUAUUGACGCUGAGGUACGAAAGCAUGGGUAGCGAACAGGAUUAGAAACCCUAGUAGUCC